Molecule: ribosomal RNA, 468 nt
Filed under: uncultured bacterium
Lineage: Bacteria
Description: partial 16S ribosomal RNA
Rfam family: Bacterial small subunit ribosomal RNA (bases 13-373)
Source: RNAcentral
GACGAACGCUGGCGGCGUGCUUAACACAUGCAAGUCGAACGGAAAGGCCCUGCUUUUGUGGGGUGCUCGAGUGGCGAACGGGUGAGUAACACGUGAGUAACCUGCCCUUGACUUUGGGAUAACUUCAGGAAACUGGGGCUAAUACCGGAUAGGAGCUCCUGCUGCAUGGUGGGGGUUGGAAAGUUUCGGCGGUUGGGGAUGGACUCGCGGCUUAUCAGCUUGUUGGUGGGGUAGUGGCUUACCAAGGCUUUGACGGGUAGCCGGCCUGAGAGGGUGACCGGCCACAGUGGGGGUGGGAGACGGCCCCGACCGCGGCGGGGGGGAGAAGGGGGGGAUAGUGGACAAGGGGGGGAGGGCGGAAGCAGCGACGCCGGGGGGGGGAGGGGGGCCGUUGGGGGUUAACACGCGUGUGGCGGGGACGAAGGGGGAGGGGAGGGGAGGGGGAAAGAAGCACACGGGAACCCCGUG